This 1732-nucleotide ribosomal RNA is filed under the name Triticum aestivum (bread wheat). RNAcentral's name for it is "partial small subunit ribosomal RNA". Lineage: Eukaryota; Viridiplantae; Streptophyta; Magnoliopsida; Poales; Poaceae. The record is from RNAcentral.
GGGUCGGAGAUUGGCGUUCUUUGUGGCUGCUGCUGGGCGGCCGCGCGCCCCCUGGGCGGACAGUGAACCUGAGGAGGCUCGCCGCCCUCCCCUGCGCACCGCCGCCGCCGCCCAGAGGGAGGCGGGUGCGUUGGAUAUCGGAUAUCGUUGUCUUCACCGCCCGCCACGCCACGCCGGCCGGCUUUUCCUCUGCUGGUGGUGGUUGUUGACCCGCACCUCCGUCCGGACGAAAGCCACCUCACCUCGCCUCGCCCCUCGGCCUCUCGUCGGGAGGUGAAAGCCACGGCGACAGCGGCAGCGCCAGCUCCCAAGAGCGCGCGCGCGCGGCCCCCAAGAUAGAUUAAGCCGGGACGAGACGGCCGCCCCAAAUUAAGCCGCCGCCGCCUCGUCCUCCUCCUCCCCCUCUACCACCGCCGCCGCGGCACGCGGUGCGCCUCCAGCAAGUCCCUGAGCGAGUUCCACGACCUCCGCCUGUAGGUCGUGCGGUUGUGGGACCGCAGCCUCACGAGCGCCCUGAUGCUGCCCCGCACGCACGUCUACGCGUACAGGAUGUCGGGGCGGCGCGCGGAGAAGGAGAAGGAGGAGGUCACCUGGCUGACGUCGGAGCGGCCGCGCGAGCCGGAGGAGUCCUAGGAGUAGAUGUUCCAGAUACACCUGCCGUGUUGGUGGUACAGGUGGGUGCUUUCCUUCCGGUCGUAGUCCCUCAAGAUGCGACACUAUAAGGGGAGGGAGUACGUUGACCUCGUGCCCUAGUCGCUGAGGCUGCUGGCCUCCGUCUCCCGCCGCACGAGCCUCUCCAUGUCCUCCUCUCUGCUCGGCCUCCUGUCGUUCUCCGGGCAGAGGCUCUAGCUGCGGCUCUAUCUCCUCCUCACGCCCUAGACGUACCUCGAGUUGUCGUCCCAGCACGACGGGUUGACGUCGGUGCUGUACACGUAGUUCACGAUGGUAGUUACCGCGUGCUCUAGAGUCAGUACGGGGAAGACGGCCCUGUCGGAGUUUUCUCACUUGAGGCCGCUGGAUACCUACGAGUGGCUGGUCGCGCUGCAGCAGCUGUACCGCUGCCACUGCUCCCUCUUGUAGUCCGCGGACAAGCGUAUGUAGCUCUUCGACGGGGAGCAGUGCGACCUGUUGUAGAAGCUACGGAUACUAAGGGUACAUUUUAUUGAAACUCGGCAACUGCUACUGAACGAGCGCUGACAAGAAAAAAAGACCCUCGCAACUGCGUACCGAACAACAACAACAACAACAACAACCAAGUACGUCUCCUACAAGGAGCAGGAUCCUACACCGACUGGUACCUACGUCGUCGGACUGUCUCUCCGGGUUGGACACACUCGUGGGAUGGAUCCCAGGAGUCCAAAACAUUUAUGUACAUGUCUAAAUGUCAAACGUACCUUUACAAGUCUCUUUCAGUCUUAUUGUUAUACAAUACGAAGAGCGUUUUUUUUUACAAUAAUACGUCGUCUCAUUACAAACAUGUCUAUACAUUAGGCCUACCCUUGUAAAUCACGUACAUCUUCAUAAAUGAGGGAGAAAGGCUUUUAUGAACAGCCUCUUUAUACAAUACGUCGUCUCAUUACGGACAUGUAUAAACAUUAGACCUACCCUUGUCUGUAUACCACGUACAUGAUUGAGGCAAGGCUUAAUAUUCUACAAAACCUAUAAAGUUAUACCUGAUGUAUGCCUGACUUUGCUCACUUAUCUAUGCGAUUUUGCACAGAUAUAUGUAGGC